Chinchilla lanigera (long-tailed chinchilla) is the source of this 542-nucleotide long non-coding RNA. RefSeq lists it as uncharacterized. The transcript has 3 exons. NCBI's taxonomy places the organism in Eukaryota, Metazoa, Chordata, Mammalia, Rodentia, Chinchillidae. The record is from RefSeq and is a predicted model, not a curated record.
CGCGAGGCUUGGGGGCGGGGCUCAAGCUCCCUGCUCGAGGUUGAGCGGCCCCGACCUAAAAAGUGCUGGAGCUGACAAAUUUCUGGGAAUCAAACUCACAACCUCACAGGCAGGCGUGGUACACGGAGCUAUAUCCCCAGCCCCAACCAGUGCUUUUCAAAUUUGAGUUCACUUCAUGUGAGACUCACCAAAAAGAGUGCUUCAGAGAGGCUGGUGGGCUCUCCCCCCAGAGCGUUUACUCAGAUCUCUAUUUUGCUGCCCGGUGGCACGGAGUGACUGGAAUAUCCCUGCAGGCGCCAUCUCUUCUCCAGACCUGUGCACACACUCACACCCUCUGCUGCACUUUCCUGACUCAUCACUGCAGCGGCCCUUUCCUCGCCUCAGGCUUUUCAUUUUUUAAAGUGCUGGGGAUCCUGUCCAGGGUUGCCCACACACCAGGCAAGUGCUCUACCCCCGAGCUGCACCCCCAGCCCUCCUUUGGGCUUUAUCUGACACACAACAGGCAUGCAUCUCAUCCUUUGACCGCUGCAGGCCGUGAGUGG